Molecule: long non-coding RNA, 246 nt
Organism: Engraulis encrasicolus (European anchovy)
Lineage: Eukaryota; Metazoa; Chordata; Actinopteri; Clupeiformes; Engraulidae
Exons: 3
Source: RefSeq, a predicted model, not a curated record
UCUCAAUAUGGCGAAGACGAGUCACCUGAAGGCCUAACUCGCCAUAGAAGACUGAAAGAAUUGUCCUGCAGGAUGCUGUGUCCUGCAAUCCUGUGUGCUGUGCUACAGACGCGUGUGGAGGUCAACCCAAAAUGGGCACAGUCUCACCACAGAAGAGUGAAAGAGGAUCCUGGCAGGGAGACGGUAGUGUCCUGCAGAAUGGUGAUGGGCCAAUCUUACAAGAGACCAAAGAAAACUGAUAUAGUG